AAAGUCGUAACAAGGUUUCCGUAGGUGAACCUGCCGAAGGAUAAUUG
Molecule: ribosomal RNA, 47 nt
Filed under: Juglans regia (Persian walnut)
Lineage: Eukaryota; Viridiplantae; Streptophyta; Magnoliopsida; Fagales; Juglandaceae
Description: 18S ribosomal RNA
Rfam family: Eukaryotic small subunit ribosomal RNA
Source: RNAcentral